RNAcentral lists this transfer RNA (71 nucleotides) under Marmota monax (woodchuck). Lineage: Eukaryota; Metazoa; Chordata; Mammalia; Rodentia; Sciuridae. The record is from Rfam by way of RNAcentral.
GUGGUUAUAACUUAGUGGUAGAGUGCUUGCCUCACAUGUAUGAGUCACUGGGUUCGACCCUCAGCACCACA